UGGAGGAUGAGCUGACCAAGGGAAAGCGAGUGAGGGUUCGGAAGGUCAAGGAGUCGAGCCCCACCUCCGUAGCUGAUCCGUCUUCCGAACGGGAGGAAACCAAGGCCAAAAAUUGGGAGUCCAAUGGAGCCAGCUGAAUCCCCAAACAAAGAUGAGUCUGUUUCAGGGAGUGGCUCAAGGCAAAAAAGGUGGACGACAAAGAGAUAGAGGCAAGAUGUGGAAAGGCUGGACAUAUAUAACUGAAACAAUCAUGGACAUUAACAGACAAAAAACACAAAUCUCCAAAUUGAAUUGAAUUAAUCGCCUGAGAUGUUCUAAUCUAUUUAAUUAACUGUUCUAAUCUGUUUUAUGGUAUGUCUAAUCAGUUCUAAUCUGUUUUAUGGUAUGUCUAAUCAGUUCUAAUUUGU
Molecule: long non-coding RNA, 407 nt
Organism: Chelmon rostratus (copperband butterflyfish)
Lineage: Eukaryota; Metazoa; Chordata; Actinopteri; Chaetodontiformes; Chaetodontidae
Exons: 3
Source: RefSeq, a predicted model, not a curated record